RNAcentral lists this ribosomal RNA (254 nucleotides) under uncultured bacterium. RNAcentral describes it as "partial 16S ribosomal RNA". It matches the Rfam family "Bacterial small subunit ribosomal RNA", at positions 524 to 777 of the family's 1533-position model. The record is from RNAcentral.
GACGAACCGUACAAACGUUAUUCGGAAUCACUGGGCUUAAAGGGUGCGUAGGCGGCGCGGAAAGUUGGGUGUGAAAUCCCUCGGCUCAACCGAGGAACUGCGCCCAAAACUGCCGUGCUUGAGGGAGACAGAGGUGAGCGGAACUAAGGGUGGAGCGGUGAAAUGCGUUGAUAUCCUUAGGAACACCGGUGGCGAAAGCGGCUCACUGGGUCUCUUCUGACGCUGAGGCACGAAAGCUAGGGGAGCAAACGGGG